CGCCUAAGCACUUCGGUGCCGGUAAGGGUGAAAAGGUGCGGUAAGAGCGCACCGCACGUCUGGCAACAGUUCGUGGCAAGGUAAACCCCACUCGGAGCAAGACCAAAUAGGGUUCCUAGGCGUGGCCCGCGCUGGAACCGGGUAGGUUGCUAAAGACGUCCAGUGAUGGCCGUCGUAGAGGAAUGACUGUCCUCGACAGAACCCGGCUUACAGAUCGACUCUCCAC
Molecule: RNase P RNA, 226 nt
Filed under: Pseudomonas syringae pv. actinidiae
Lineage: Bacteria; Pseudomonadati; Pseudomonadota; Gammaproteobacteria; Pseudomonadales; Pseudomonadaceae
Description: partial RNase P RNA component class A
Rfam family: Bacterial RNase P class A
About the family: Ribonuclease P (RNase P) is a ubiquitous endoribonuclease, found in archaea, bacteria and eukarya as well as chloroplasts and mitochondria.
Source: RNAcentral